GCGCCUUGGGAGGGGGUGGGAGGAGGACAGACUUUUGGCCAGACUGUUUCAAACAAAACCAAAAACCUAAAUAGAGCACUACCAUCCUCUGCUGCUGCAUAUCUGUAGAAAGCAACUUAUUUUUUGGAUUUUUUUUUUUUUAAGAAAAGAAACAAAAAGACCCUAGCAAGCAAAAAAAACAUUUUAAAAAAUGAGUUUUUUCCCUCCUAUUUAAGUCAUUCUUUCUCCUUGCUCUCUACUUUUGGAGAAUGAACUUAACAUCCCGGCUUCUUUUGUUAAGCCAUAGCUGACCUUAAUCUGUGGUUAGUUUAUUAAAAUAAUUAAAAAAAUACUUUGUAAGAAGAGAUAUUUUUGAUAAUAGGACUGAUGUUGAAACUUGGGGUAGGGAUUAGGGGCAAUUUAUAAAGAGGUAGCUAGAGAAAUAUAUAUUUUAGUGAACUAUAACCACAGAUCACAGAUUACUCCCAAUGAGCUGAUCUGUCAUUGGCUCUCCCGCCUCUCCCCAAACCAUCCUUUUCCCCAGAGGGUGGGAGUGUGUCUGUGGACACAGUAGUUGGGGGAGCUCCUUUGCAUUUUGCACAAAGCACAAGUCUGGACAGCCUAUGCUCUGGCCAGCACCAUUUCUAAGAGCUUUAAACUGGAGGACCUAUCCUGGGCCAAUCUUCCCUUUUCUUUAAAUUAUUUCUUUCUGGGGGGAAAAAAAAAUCAACUAUGCAAUUGUAUACACUCCUGGGUGCAUAUGAAGAAGGGGAAUAAGUGUACUUAAUGUGUCUAGAGUGUUAAUUGGGGCUAUUUUUCUGUAUUUGGAUUUCUCUUUUGAGGUGUGUACUCUUAAACCAUCCUGUGGAAUGUAAUCUUUACAUUUGAUCCAAGGCUGACAUGGGCUGGGAGUGUGCGUUGGGGGGACUUGUGUUUGCCAUAUGUUGCUUCUGCCCAAUCAGGAAAGUUGUCAUCCCACCGCCCCCUUGAUAACAAAGUCAGCCAAGACUGUCCUCUUCAUUGGAACUGCUCACAAUUUAGGAAGUUUCCUUUCUCAACAAACUCAAAAAGCCACUUAUUUUCUAAAUCUGAUUGUUGAUUUAAUAAUUUCCAUGGCUAUUAAUUCUUAGGCUUUUAUUUGGAAAUGGAUGUGUUAAGGAAGCAAUGAGGUCAAAGGAGAUAGGUUCCAAAGGAGGGUAU
Molecule: long non-coding RNA, 1179 nt
Filed under: Bos taurus (domestic cattle)
Lineage: Eukaryota; Metazoa; Chordata; Mammalia; Artiodactyla; Bovidae
Description: long non-coding RNA NONBTAT018017
Source: RNAcentral